UACGAAGGGGGCUAGCGUUGCUCGGAAUUACUGGGCGUAAAGGGAGCGUAGGCGGAUAGUUUAGUCAGAGGUGAAAGCCCAGGGCUCAACCUUGGAAUUGCCUUUGAUACUGGCUAUCUUGAGUAUGGAAGAGGUAUGUGGAACUCCGAGUGUAGAGGUGAAAUUCGUAGAUAUUCGCAAGAACACCAGUGGCGAAGGCGGCUCACUGGCCCGAUACUGACGCUGAGGCACGAAAGCGUGGGGAGCAAACAGG
Molecule: ribosomal RNA, 253 nt
Filed under: uncultured bacterium
Lineage: Bacteria
Description: partial 16S ribosomal RNA
Rfam family: Bacterial small subunit ribosomal RNA
Source: RNAcentral